Molecule: ribosomal RNA, 789 nt
Filed under: uncultured archaeon
Lineage: Archaea
Description: bacterial SSU rRNA
Rfam family: Archaeal small subunit ribosomal RNA
Source: RNAcentral
ACGGCUCAGUAACACGUGGAUAACCUGCCCUAGGGGAGGGGAUAACCCCGGGAAACUGGGGAUAAUACCCUAUAGGUUACAGAUGCUGGAAUGCCCUGUAACCAAAAGCUCCGGCGCCCUAGGAUGGAUCUGCGGCCGAUUAGGUUGUUGUUGGGGUAACGGCCCAACAAGCCCGUAAUCGGUACGGGUUGUGGGAGCAAGAGCCCGGAGUUGGAUUCUGAGACACGAAUCCAGGCCCUACGGGGCGCAGCAGGCGCGAAACCUUUACAAUGCGGGCAACCGUGAUAAGGGAACCUCGAGUGCCUGUAAACGCAGGCUGUUCAGGUGUUUAAAACGCACCUGGAGAAAGGGCCGGGCAAGACCGGUGCCAGCCGCCGCGGUAAUACCGGCGGCUCGAGUGGUGGCCGCUUUUAUUGGGCUUAAAGCGUUCGUAGCUGGGUUGUUAAGUCUCUUGGGAAAUCUGGCGGCUUAACCGUCAGGCGUCUAAGGGAUACUGGCAAUCUUGGAACCGGGAGAGGUGAGGGGUACUUCGGGGGUAGGGGUGAAAUCCUGUAAUCCUCGAGGGACCACCUGUGGCGAAGGCGCCUCACCAGAACGGCUUCGACAGUGAGGGACGAAAGCUGGGGGAGCAAACCGGAUUAGAUACCCGGGUAGUCCCAGCCGUAAACGAUGCGCGUUAGGUGUAUCGGUGACCACGAGUUACCGAGGUGCCGAAGGGAAACCGUGAAACGCGCCGCCUGGGAAGUACGGUCGCAAGGCUGAAACUUAAAGGAAUUGGCGGGGGAGCAC